This 253-nucleotide ribosomal RNA is filed under the name uncultured bacterium. Its description in RNAcentral is "partial 16S ribosomal RNA". It matches the Rfam family "Bacterial small subunit ribosomal RNA", at positions 524 to 776 of the family's 1533-position model. The record is from RNAcentral.
UACGUAGGGGGCCAGCGUUGCUCGGAAUUACUGGGCGUAAAGGGUUCGUAGGCGGUGCGGCAAGUUGGGUGUGAAAUCUCUGGGCUCAACCCAGAGGCUGCUUCCAAAACUGCUGUGCUUGAGUGUGGGAGAGGCGCGUGGAAUUGCAGGUGUAGCGGUGAAAUGCGUAGAUAUCUGCAGGAACACCAGUGGCGAAAGCGGCGCGCUGGACCACAACUGACGCUGAGGAACGAAAGCUAGGGGAGCAAACAGG